AGAGUUUGAUCAUGGCUCAGAUUGAACGCUAGCGGGAUGCUUUACACAUGCAAGUCGAACGGCAGCACAAAGGAACUUGUUCCUUGGGUGGCGAGUGGCGGACGGGUGAGUAAUGUAUCGGAACGUGCCCAGUAGUGGGGGAUAACUACGCGAAAGCGUGGCUAAUACCGCAUAUUCUCUACGGAGGAAAGGGGGGGAUCAUUUGACCUCUCGCUAUUGGAGCGGCCGAUAUUAGAUUAGCUAGUUGGUGGGGUAACGGCCUACCAAGGCGAUGAUCUAUAGCUGGUUUGAGAGGACGACCAGCCACACUGGGACUGAGACACGGCCCAGACUCCUACGGGAGGCAGCAGUGGGGAAUUUUCGACAAUGGGGGGAACCCUGAUCGAGCCAUCCCGCGUGUGGGACGAAGGCCUUCGGGUUGUAAACCACUUUUCUCAACGAAGAAAAGCCUUAGACUAAUACUCUGAGGUGCUGACGGUAGUUGAGGAAUAAGCACCGGCUAACUAUGUGCCAGCAGCCGCGGUAAUACAUAGGGUGCAAGCGUUAAUCGGAAUUACUGGGCGUAAAGGGUGCGCAGGCGGCUUGGAAAGAACGGUGUGAAAUCCCGGGGCUCAACCCCGGAACUGCACUAUUAACUAUCAAGCUAGAGUAUGUCAGAGGGGGGUGGAAUUCCGCGUGUAGCAGUGAAAUGCGUAGAUAUGCGGAGGAACACCAAUGGCGAAGGCAGCCCCCUGGGAUAAUACUGACGCUCAGGCACGAAAGCGUGGGUAGCAAACAGGAUUAGAUACCCUGGUAGUCCACGCCCUAAACGAUGUCAACUAGCUGUUGGGCCGGUUACGGCUUAGUAGCGCAGCUAACGCGUGAAGUUGACCGCCUGGGGACUACGGUCGCAAGGCUAAAACUCAAAGGAAUUGACGGGGACC
RNAcentral lists this ribosomal RNA (923 nucleotides) under uncultured bacterium. RNAcentral's name for it is "bacterial SSU rRNA". It matches the Rfam family "Bacterial small subunit ribosomal RNA", at positions 8 to 921 of the family's 1533-position model. The record is from RNAcentral.